This 465-nucleotide ribosomal RNA is filed under the name uncultured bacterium. Its description in RNAcentral is "partial 16S ribosomal RNA". It matches the Rfam family "Bacterial small subunit ribosomal RNA", at positions 338 to 795 of the family's 1533-position model. The record is from RNAcentral.
CCUACGGGAGGCAGCAGUGGGGAAUAUUGCACAAUGGGCGAAAGCCUGAUGCAGCGACGCCGCGUGAGUGAAGAAGGUUUUCGGCUCGUAAAGCUCUGUCAGCAGGGAAGAACGUUCAUGGUGCUAACUAGUAGCGCAUUGACGGUAACCGACCAGAAAGCACCGGCUAACUACGUGCCAGCAGCCGCGGUAAUCCGUAGGGGGCGAGCGUUAACCGGAAUUACUGGGCGUAAAGCGCGUGUAGGCGGUAUGUCAAGUCUAGGGUGAAAUCCCUGAGCUCAACGUGAGAACUGCAUGGGAAACUGGCAGACUUGAGUGUAGGAGAGGAUAGUGGAAUUCCAGGUGUAGGGGUGGAAUGCGUAGAUAUAUGGAAGAACACCAGUGGCGAAGGCGACUGUCUGGCAUGUAACUGACGCUGAGGAGCGAAAGCAUGGGUAGCGAACAGGAUUAGAUACCCGUGUAGUC